RNAcentral lists this ribosomal RNA (441 nucleotides) under uncultured bacterium. Its description in RNAcentral is "partial 16S ribosomal RNA". It matches the Rfam family "Bacterial small subunit ribosomal RNA", at positions 338 to 795 of the family's 1533-position model. The record is from RNAcentral.
CCUACGGGAGGCUGCAGUGGGGAAUAUUGCACAAUGGGGGAAACCCUGAUGCAGCAACGCCGCGUGAGUGAAGAAGUAUGUCGGUAUGUAAAGCUCUAUCAGCAGGGAAGAAGAAAGAUGGUACCUGACUAAGAAGCCAAGGCUAACUACGUGACAGCAGCCGCGGUAAUACGUAGGGGGCAAGCGUUAACCGGAUUUACUGGGUGUAAAGGGGGCGUAGACGGCUGUGUAAGUCUGAAGUGAAAGCCCGUGGCUCAACCGCGGAACUGCUUUGGAAACUGUAUAGCGUGAGUACGGGAGAGGCAGGCGGAAUUGCUAGUGUAGCGGUGAAAUGCGUAGAUAUUAGGCAGAACACCAGUGGCGAAGGCGGCCUGCUGGACAGAAACUGACGUUGAGGCUCGAAAGCGUGGGGAGCAAACAGGAUUAGAUACCCCAGUAGUC